This 465-nucleotide ribosomal RNA is filed under the name Exiguobacterium acetylicum. Its description in RNAcentral is "partial 16S ribosomal RNA". It matches the Rfam family "Bacterial small subunit ribosomal RNA", at positions 914 to 1376 of the family's 1533-position model. Lineage: Bacteria; Bacillati; Bacillota; Bacilli; Caryophanales. The record is from RNAcentral.
CGGGGACCCGCACAANCCGGUGGAGCAUGUGGUUUAAUUCGAAGCAACGCGAAGAACCUNACCAACUCUUGACAUCCCAUUGACCGCUUGAGAGAUCAAGUUUUCCNUUCGGGGACAAUGGUGACAGGUGGUGCAUGGUUGUCGUCAGCUCGUGUCGUGAGAUGUUGGGUUAAGUCCCGCAACGAGCGCAACCCCUAUCNUUAGUUGCCAGCAUUNAGUUGGGCACUNUAGGGAGACUGCCGGUGACAAACCGGAGGAAGGUGGGGAUGACGUCAAAUCAUCAUGCCCCUUAUGAGUUGGGCUACACACGUGCUACAAUGGACGGUACAAAGGNCAGCGAGACCGCGAGGUGGAGCCAAUCCCAUAAAGCCGUUCCCAGUUCGGAUUGCAGNCUGCAACUCGCCUGCAUGAAGUNGGAAUCGUUAGUNAUCGCAGGUCAGCAUAAUGUCGGUGAAUACGUUCCCG